Molecule: long non-coding RNA, 348 nt
Organism: Microtus oregoni (creeping vole)
Lineage: Eukaryota; Metazoa; Chordata; Mammalia; Rodentia; Cricetidae
Exons: 3
Source: RefSeq, a predicted model, not a curated record
CAAUGAUUGGUCCCUAAACUUGCUUCGUUUGGGAGAGUUCAACUUUUUUAACGGUCUUCUUACCUGUUUUUCUAGUCUUGCUUAUUCGAAGAAGAGAACCAAGAUUAAAGCCUCCAGUUUACCUAUCAGUAUUACCACUCCACGCCAGGAGGGCAUUUCCUGUGGGGAUAUACAGAUGUCUCUUCUUCAAGGUGCAGGGAAUGGAACUUUUUUUAGUGGAGGUGGAUUCAAGACAAGACUAGACAUCAAAAUACCAAAUGGGUACAGAUCUAAACAGAGAAUUCACAACAGAAGAAUUUCAAAUGGCCAAAAGACACUUAAGGAACUGCUUAACGCCCUUAGCCAUCA